CCCUUAGAUGUUCUGGGCUGCACGCGCGCUACACUGAUGCACUCAACGAGUUUACGACCUUGCCCGAUAGGGUUGGGUAAUCUUUUUAAAAUGCAUCGUGAUGGGGAUAGAUUAUUGCAAUUAUUAAUCUUCAACGAGGAAUUCCUAGUAAGCGCGAGUCAUCAGCUCGUGCUGAUUACGUCCCUGCCCUUUGUACACACCGCCCGUCGCUCCUACCGAUUGAGUGCUCAGGUGAAUAAUUCGGACUGCAGCAAUGUUUGGAUCCCGAACGUUGCAGCGGAAAGUUUAGUGAACCUUAUCUCUUAGAGGAAGGAGAAGUCGUAACA
This 326-nucleotide ribosomal RNA is filed under the name uncultured eukaryote. Its description in RNAcentral is "partial 18S ribosomal RNA". It matches the Rfam family "Eukaryotic small subunit ribosomal RNA", at positions 1470 to 1796 of the family's 1831-position model. The record is from RNAcentral.